This 571-nucleotide ribosomal RNA is filed under the name Vascellum pratense. Its description in RNAcentral is "SSU rRNA". It matches the Rfam family "Eukaryotic small subunit ribosomal RNA", at positions 1198 to 1797 of the family's 1831-position model. Lineage: Eukaryota; Fungi; Basidiomycota; Agaricomycetes; Agaricales; Lycoperdaceae. The record is from RNAcentral.
GGCUUAAUUUGACUCAACACGGGGAAACUCACCAGGUCCAGACAUAACUAGGAUUGACAGAUUGAUAGCUCUUUCAUGAUUUUAUGGGUGGUGGUGCAUGGCCGUUCUUAGUUGGUGGAGUGAUUUGUCUGGUUAAUUCCGAUAACGAACGAGACCUUAACCUGCUAAAUAGCCAGGUCGGCUUUUGCUGAUCGCCGGCUUCUUAGAGGGACUGUCAGUGUCUAACUGACGGAAGUUUGAGGCAAUAACAGGUCUGUGAUGCCCUUAAAUGUUCUGGGCCGCACGCGCGCUACACUGACAGAGCCAGCGAGUUUUUUUCCUUGGCCGGAAGGUCUGGGUAAUCUUGUGAAACUCUGUCGUGCUGGGGAUARAGCAUUGCAAUUAUUGCUCUUCAACGAGGAAUACCUAGUAAGCGUGAGUCAUCAGCUCGCGUUGAUUACGUCCCUGCCCUUUGUACACACCGCCCGUCGCUACUACCGAUUGAAUGGCUUAGUGAGGUCUCCGGAUUGGCUUUUGGGAGCCGGCAACGGCACUUGAUUGCUGAGAAGGUGAUCAAACUUGGUCAUUUAGA